Molecule: long non-coding RNA, 3581 nt
Filed under: Actinidia chinensis (golden kiwifruit)
Lineage: Eukaryota; Viridiplantae; Streptophyta; Magnoliopsida; Ericales; Actinidiaceae
Description: long non-coding RNA (ACHI_LNC000051)
Source: RNAcentral
UUUAUUUCAAGCUCAAGUUAUUAGGGUAUUAGUAGUUAUGGCCGUAUGUUGUACUUUGUCUUUUUCAAAUUAUGCUAAUUUGAAUUUUUGAGUAAUGAGUUGUGACUAUUUUGCAUUUAUUUUGUUUAGUGAGGACUAUUGCUAUUGACUAUCGGACUCAAGUGGGUGUACCGUGCUAAUAGCGAUGCCUAGGCCCAAGUACUCUCAAAUCCAUAUCUCCGCGCCUUUGAAUGUUGUGGUACGUAACUGUGGCUUUAAAUUUUGUAUAUUUAUCUUGGGCCUUAAUUAACCUGAACUUGAAGUUCCCCGGGUUCAAUUUCAAGCUCAAGUUAAUUAGGUAUUAUUAGACAAGGCCUUAUGUUUUAAAUACGCUUUGGCCCUUUGUCAAAAUUAGCUGAUUUGAGUUUUUUGUGUAAUAUGUAGUGACUGUUUUUGCAUUUGGUCUGUUUUGCGAGGACUUUGCUAUUGACUAUACCCGUAUUCAACUUCAAGUCGGUAUUUAGGUACUUGUUUUUGUUGUUAUUAUUUUAUGUUGUUUUUUUAUUUAUAGCAUGAUUUUAAUGUUUGAGUACGAGUGAGUGACUGCCUUUGCUUUUUUGUUUUGUCGAGGACUAAUACUGUUGACUAUCGGGUUUAAAUUUCAUCAGCUCAAGUGUAUUAGGGUAAUUAUUAGUUAUUUCCGUAUGCUUUACUUUGUCUUUUUCAAAUAUGCUAAUUUGAAUUUUUGAGUAAUGAUUUGGCUGACUAUUUUCAUUGAUUUUUUGUUUAGUGAGGACUAUUGCUAUUGACUAUCCGGACUCAAGUUGGUGUUACCGUGGUAAAGCGAUGCCUGGCCCAAUACUCUCAACCAUAUCCCACCCUUUGAAUGUUGUGGUCGUAACUGAUGGCUUAAAUUUGUUGUCAUUUAUUCUUGGGCCUUAAUUAACCCUAACGUGAAUUUCCCCGGUUCAAUUUCAAGCGUCAUGUUAAUUAGGAAUUAUUAGACAAGGCCCUUUAUUUAAACUUUGUCCUUUUUACAAGUUAUCUGAUUUGAGUUUUGUUGUGUAAUAUGUAUGACUGUUUUUGCUUUGUUUUCGUUUUCGAGGAACUAUUCUCUUGACUACCGGAUUCAACUUCAGCUCGAGUUAUUUUAGGUACUUUUUGUUAGUACUUUAUGUUGUUUUUUUAUCUACAAGCAUGAUUUUAAAAUGUUUUGAGUAACGAGUAGUGACAGCUUUUUGCAUUUUGUUUUGUUUUGGCGAGGACUAAUACUGUUGACUAUCGGUUGUUAAUUUCAAGCUCGAAGUUAUUAGGGUAUUAUUAGUUAUGGCCGUUAUGUUGACUUGUCUUUUUCAAAUAUGCUAAUUGAUUUUUGAGUAAUGAGUUUGACAUUUUGCAUUAUUUUUGUUUAGUGAGGACUAUUGCUAUGGACUAUCGGGGACUGGAAUCAAGUGGGUGUACGUACUAAAUAGCGAUGCCUAGGCCCAAGUUCUCAAAUCCAUAUCUCCGCGCCUUUGAAUGUUUGUGGUACGUAACUGUUGACUUUAAAUUUUGUAAUUACUUGGGCCGUAAGUUACACCUGAACUGGAAGUCCCGGGUUCAAUUUCAAGCUCAAGUUAAUAGUAUUAUUAGACAGGACUUUAUGUUGUACUUGUAUUUUAAAAUUAUGACUGAUUUGAGUUUUUGUCUGUAGUAAGAUGUAGUGAACGUUUUUGCAUUGUCGUUUGCGAGGACUAUGCCCUAUUGACUACCGGAUUCAACUUAAAGUGCGAGUUAUUUAGGUUAACUUUUUGUUAGUACUUUAUGUGUGUUUUUAUUUAGAGACAUGAUUUAUGUUUGAGUAACGAGUAGUGACUGCUUGCAUUUUUUUGUUUUGCGUGAGGACUAAUUCUGUUGAAUAGUCGGGGUUUAAUUCAAGUCAAGUUAUUAGGGAUUAGUAGUUAUGGCCGCAUGUGUACUUGUCUUUUUCAAAUUAUGCCUAAUUGAAUUUUUGAGAGUAAUAGUGUGACUGUAUUUUGCCUUAUUUUGUUUAGUGAGGACUAAUGCUAUUGACUAUCGGAUCAAGUGGGUUUGUACCGUGCUAAUAGCGAUGCCUAAGGCCCAAAGUACUCUCAAAUCCAUAUACUCCGCGCCUUUGAAUGUUGUGGGGAGUACGUAAUGUGCUUUAAAUUUUGUUAUAUUAUCUUUGGCCUUAAUAACCUUGAACUGGAAGUUCCCGGGUUAAUUCAAGCUCAAGUUAUUAGGUAUAUUAGACAGGCCUUAUGUUGUGUACUUGUCUUUUUAAAAUUAUGCUGAUUUGAGUUUUUGUGUAAUAUGUAGUGACUGUUUUGCAUUUGUUCUGUUUUGCGAGGACUAUUGCUAUUGACUACCGGAUUCAACUUCAAGCUCGAGUUAUUUAGGUACUUUUUGUUAGUACUUUAUGUUGUUUUUUAUUUAUAGCAUGAUUUUAAUGUUUGAGUAACGAGUAGUGACUGCUUUGCAUUUUUUUUGUUUUGCGAGGACUAAUACUGUUGACUAUCGGGUUUAAUUUCAAGCUCAAGUUAUUAGGGUAUUAGUAGUUAUGGCCGUAUGCUGUACUUUGUCUUUUCCAAUAGCUAUUUGAAUUUUUGAGUAAUGAGUUGUGACUAUUUUGCAUUAUUUUGUUUUAGUGAGGACUAUUGCCUAUUGAUAUCGACUCAAGUGGGUGUACCGUGGUAAUAGCGCUGCCUAGGACCAAGUACUCUCAAACCAUAUCUCCACGCCUUAAUGUUGUGGUACUUAACUGUGGCUUUAAAUUUUGCUAUAUUUAUCUUGGGCCUUAAUUAACCUGAAACUUGAAGUCCACGGGUUCAAUUCAAGCUCAUUUAAUUAGGUAUAGUGACACGGGCCUUAUUAUUAAAAUUUGUCUUUAAAAUUAUGCUGAUUUGAGAUUUGGUUAAUAUGUAGUGACUGUUUUGCAUUUGUUCUGUUUUGCGAGGACUAUUGCUAUUGACUACCGGAUUCAACUUCAAGCUCGAGCUAUUUAGGUACUUUUUGUUAGUACUUUAUGUUGUUUUUUAUUUAUAGCAUGAUUUUAAUGUUUGAGUAACGUGUAGUGACUGCUUUGCAUUUUUUGUUUUGUUUUGCGAGGACUAAUACUGUUGACUAUCGGGUUUAAUUUCAAGCUCAAGUUAUUAGGGUAUUAGUAGUUAUGGCCGUAUGUGUACUUUGUCUUUUUCAAAUUACAGCUAUGUUGAAUUUGUGAGUACUGAGUUGCUGACUAUUUGCAUUGAUUUUGUUAUUUGAGGACUAUUGCUAUGACUAUCGGACCUCAAGUGGGUGUGUACCGUGCUAAUAGCGAUGCCUAGGCCAAAGUACUUCUCAAACCCAUAUCUCAAAGGCAUUUGAAUGUUGUUUUUACGAAACUGUGGCUUAAUUUUGUAUAUUUAUCUUGGGCCUUAAUUAACCUGAACUUGAAGUUUCCCGGGUUCAAUUUCAAGCUCAAGUUAAUUAGGAAUUAUUAGACAAGGCCUUAUGUUAAACUUUGUCUUUUUAAAAUUAUGCUGAUUUGAGUUUUUGUGUAAGAUGUAGUGACUGUUUUGCAUUUGUUCUGUUUUACGAGGACUAUUGCUAUUGACUACCGG